UCUCCAAUCAGAAAAAAAUAGAAAAAAAAAUAAAAACAAACAGCAAACCCUAAUUCGGUUCUUUCGCUCUCUCUUUCGUACUUUCUGUUUUUGGUUCAUAAAUUCCUGCAACACACCUAGCAACCCCAAUUAUUUCCAUUUUUUCUUGCAAUUAACACCCAUCCACAAGCAUCAUCAUUUCCAUUUAUAUAUAUAUAUUAUCAAAUUUACAUUCUGAUAGAUAUCUCUUGUUAUAAUAAUCAUUGUAUAGGGAGAGACUGUGAGAGAGAAACAAGGAAGAGAUUGAAAAUUGGUUUGAUUUUGAAGAGGAGAAAAAAAGAGGAUGGAUGGAAUACCGCACCCAAUUCCUCGAACCGUUGAAGAAGUUUUCAGCGA
Molecule: unclassified non-coding RNA, 375 nt
Filed under: Hevea brasiliensis (rubber tree)
Lineage: Eukaryota; Viridiplantae; Streptophyta; Magnoliopsida; Malpighiales; Euphorbiaceae
Source: RNAcentral